This 8806-nucleotide long non-coding RNA is filed under the name Populus trichocarpa (black cottonwood). RNAcentral's name for it is "long non-coding RNA (PTRI_LNC002274)". Lineage: Eukaryota; Viridiplantae; Streptophyta; Magnoliopsida; Malpighiales; Salicaceae. The record is from RNAcentral.
UGAUUUCAUCCUCCAAGCAUAAUUAGCUUUAUUUAUGUUUUUCCUCUCUCCCUCUCUCUAUCUCUCGAAUGCAUGCAGGGGCAUAAACUCUCACGUUUACUAGCUCUUGCCUCUUGUCUCCCCUGUUCCUAAAUUGCUAUUUAAGAUCAUGAAGUGGUGCUAAAAAUGCUUCAUAACAUAUUUUACAAUCGGCAUCAACUUCAUUAUCACUUUUGGAUUCACUUUAAGUUUCAAAGUUGAUUUCUUUUUUUGUGGUCCUUUAGGCUGAUUUUGUAUUUUGGGCAAUUAUAUGAGCACGUAUGAUAUAAUACUUAGUUUAGCUGUAUGAUACAAUACUUAGUUUAGCUGAUGACUUUGUAACGCUUCUCACGAUCGAACUGAAAACUCCACCUCUACUCAACAAGUGCAGCUUUUUGACGUAUCUUUAACUCAAUUGCCCAUGAACUUCAAACUUGUGAAUGUCAAAAACAAUUUUUGUAGUGUCAAUGACCACACACAAGGUGAUUCUUCAUGCAUGCAUGCAUGUAUUCAUCCCCACUGAAACUAAGUACAAAGGCAUAUGAUUUCUGAAUUUUUAGAAGUUUGACUUCAUCUGAUUUUUAUACUUGUUUUUCUAAAUGCGUGAAGAGUGAAUGAUCCUGUGGCAAUGAAGCUACUCAACAAGGCUGGAGACAUGCCGUCAUUAGAACCACCAGAGGAUGAAAGCAUUAAAACGCUCUAUGUAGGUGGGCUUGAUGCGAGGAUCAAUGAGCAGGACCUAAGGGAUCAGUUUUAUGCUCAUGGCGAAAUUGAAUCCAUAAAAAUGGUGCCUCAAAGAGCAAUUGCUUUUGUAACCUACACAACCAGAGAAGGAGCAGAAAAGGCCGCAGCGGAGCUCUCUAACAGGCUAGUCAUCAAGGGUCUGCGUCUGAAAUUGAUGUGGGGUAGACCGCAAGCACCAAAACCUGAGUCGGAAAGUUCUGAUGAAGCAAGGCAGCAGGCAGCAAUGGCCCAUAGUGGGAUGUUGCCCCGUGCAGUUGUAUCUCAGCAACACAACCACUUAAAUCCACCCGGCACCCAGGACCAACAUCCUCCAAUGCACUACUUCAAUAUUCCCCCACCACCUCAGCAAGAACGAGCAUUUUACCCGUCAAUGGAUCCUCAAAGAAUGGGUGCCCUUGUUGGAUCCCAAGACGGUACUCCUAAUGGGCCUGCAGGAUCAGGUGAGAAUAAAUCUGGAUUGGAGAAGCAGCUCGGGCAGCACUAUCCAUAUCAAAGUAUGCCACCACCUCACGUGCAAUACCAACAACAAUACCAACAACAACAUUAUCCAGCAUAUGGUUAUAUGCCGCCAGUGCCACCGUAUCAGCAGUAUCCUCUGCCAUAUCACACUCCUGUGCCUCCCCCACAGGUGGUGCAAUCCACACAGCAGUAUCAGCAUCCUGUGCCACCGCCAAUGGCUGCACCUGCAGAGUCCAUGACCUCUGUGCCCCCACAUCAGGGAUCCCGAGAUCCUGCAGGGUCGAUGCCCUCCGAGCCCUCAUCUCAGGGAUCUGAAGCACCUGCAGGGUCCAAACGCUCCAGCCCACCAUCUCCGAGACCUGGAGAACCUGAAGAAUCUAAACCCUCAGGGCCCUUACCUUGAAUGCUGUUUAAGUUUUCUUGUGCUUGUAUUGUUGGUUGCAGUAAUUUGUUCAACAUACUAUCUGAUUAAGAAGGCGAGAACUUGCAUCAGAAUCUAUGAUCCAUGAGAAGUUGUGAUGCAAUUCAUAGGGAGCGUUUGUCCUUGUUUAGCAGGCUUCAUGUGCAAGUUUGAUCAGGAUCGGUGAUCGAGGUUCCCAUUAACGUCUAGCCAAGAUUUCAUGGGAGUUGGGCAUUCUAGCCAAGGUUUAAUUUGAAAAUAGUAUAGGUUCUCAUGACAUCGUGGUCGUUUAAUGUUAACUUCAAUUUUACGCAGCAAUAAAAAGUUUGCGUUAUUCAAGCACGGAUGAUAAAUAUUGUUCUUUAAAAAUGAUGUUUUAACUUUUAUGAAAUAAAUGUUGUUCUUUUCUUUUCUGAUGUGAUAAGGUGCUUGAUCAUUUGUUAUAUGUUGAAAUUAUUCUUGAUCAUCGGUGAUCAUCACAGUUAUAAUUAAAUUAGUUGAAUUAAAAAAAAAUGAUAGCAGUAAGAUAAAUAUUCACAAUACAGCAAGUAAAGAAGCUUCUCCCGUUUGUAGUCUUACAAUUUGAACACUAUUCUUUUAAUUUUCAGGAUAAUCCAACUUGCUGAAUCAUAAAUAAUUAAUAGUUUAAAGGGCUGGCUUGGUGAGUAAGAAUUUUUGCUUCAUUCUAGAUUUUUGAAAUUUAUUUAAAUUUAAGAACAUGUAUCAUUUGAAUGUACCAGAAUGAUUCGAGGGUGCGUUUUUAAAAUGGUUUAGUAACAGAUUUAGUCUUAGUUGAUCCAGAUUAACUCGAAUAUCCUUACUGCACAUACAAAAAAAUUUAGCCAACAUCACUGUUGGCUAAGCUCAACUGUUUCUUGAAAAUAAAAGCUUUAAACUUGUUCAUCCUGCACUAAACACGUCUUAGAGUAAACGAGCCAUCUAAGUCGGGUUUUGUUAUGAGUAAUAAUUUUUUUAAAAAAAUAUUAGUUAUGCAUGCUCCUUCAAUAUAUUUUUUAACAUAAAAAAAUUUAAAAUAUAAAUUAAAAAGUUUAUGCAAGUAUCUCAUUAAAUAAAUUAAUAAUCAUUUAUAUAAUUAAAUGGAAAAAACCAAAAGAGAAAUUGAUAAAAUUAAGAGUGUAAAUUAAGAUAUCCAAUCACAUAAAAUAAAAUAUUAACCUAAUUGUUUUUACUGAAUUUGUUUAUUAAAAUCAAUAAAAAAUAAAUCCACAACCUAAAGAACUCAUGACUUAAAAGAUAAACACAAAUAAAACUGACAAAUAAACUUAUGCCAUAAAAAAAUAUUAUGCAAAGUCAAACACAUCAACAAUAUUAUUUAAAAAUAAAUAUUUUUUAUUUUUAAAAAUCAACUUCAUUUGUAUAAAACACAAAAAAAUUCUAAAUAAAUUAGCUAACAUCUUGAAAAACAAAACAUGUUUUAAAAAGGAAACAAUAUUAAAAAUAAAUAAAUGCAGAGUGAUAAGAUCGUAUGAAGUCAAAUCUCUAACAAAUCAAAUGUUGAAAGAUGAAAUCAAUAAAAAAAAAUCAAUUGCACAAAAUGAUUUAAAAAAUAAGAGUGAAAAAAAAACAUUGAUUAUAGGGCAAUUAAAAAUUUGAUUUGAUAUGUGCUCCGUAACGGGUCAUAAUUUUUCUUUCUAAAAAAACUUGAGCAUACAGACUUAUCUAGAUUCAUUUUUUUUCAUGAAAUAAAUUAUAAAUGUAAAUAAAAAAUUUUAUCCAAAAAUCUAAUAUCAUCUAUGUAAAUAAAUUAAUUUUUUUUGUUAAUAAUAACUAAAAGAGAAACAGAGAAAAAUGAGAAAUGAACAUAAAUUAAGAUAUUUGAUAUCAUAAAAUAAAACAUUUACUUAUUUGUGUUCACUAAAUUUGUUCAUACCAAUCAAUAAAAGAUAAUAAAAAUAAAAACACAUAUGAAACAAAGUAAAUAAAAUAAAAGGACAAAAAAUAUGCAUAGCCGAGAAUAUAUGAAAUAUUAUUUCAAAAUAACUAUUUUUUAUGAUCAAUUGUAAUGGCUAGAUUGAAACUAAUAUAUGAUCAAUUGUAAUGGCUAGAUUGAAAAUAUAAAAAACUUUUCUAAAAGAGUCAAUGAUAAAAAUAAACAAUAAAAAACACAGGGACUAAAAUUGAAAAAUAAAAAAUAAAAGGGACAAAUAUGCACUUUAACUAGAAGAGAGAGAAAAGCAUGCAAGAAAAAGAAGAAACGACCACUGGCGACAAACUGUCGGAUCACCACCGACACACUCUACACCGGGAGGAAGAUCACAUGACGGCGCUUCUAGUGACAUGGAGGAAGGCCAUUUUUGGAUAAACAGUGGUGUCGCAUGUGACGUCGAAAAAGCGCAGACGCAGUCAUUGCGUGGAAAAUACGCACCAACAGCUUUUCAUUAUUUAAUAUUAAAAAAUAAGGUUAAUUACUAUAAAAAACCCUCAUGACCUUGGAAAUAACAAAUAAAACCAAUAUGAAAAUACCAAAAUACCCCUGUAUGCAUAGAGGCUAUUUUAUCUUAUAUACGGGCAAAUAUAUAUUUUAUUGAUUUUCAAGUUUGUGCAAAGUCAGAAACACCUUUGGUCAACAAGUUUAAAUUUCAUUGACCUUGAAGGCAAAAUAGUAUUUUUACUGUACAAAAUAAUAUGCAAAGAAAAUAAUACUCAUGUUCAAUCUUUUAAUGACUAAUGGGUCAACGUAAAAGGACCAAAAUACCCACAUGCCCUAACCUUCUAACUUUUUCAUGAGAGACACAAAAGUAAAUUUACUAUAACAAUCCAUAGUGAACUGAGUCUAUUGCUAUAAUGAAUUCACUAGAUUUUAUGUCCACACGAUAUGACGCAUAAUAAAUUUCAAAAUUAAUUGUUAUUUAAUUUAAUAAAAAUUAAAAAAAAUAUUUGUAUAAAUUUCGAGGAUUUAACUUUUAAAUAAGAAAUGUGUUUCUUAAGUAGAAGUCCACAUUCCUUAUUUAAACAUUUUUUUUUAUUUCAACGAAAAAUAUCUUUUUCUGUCACCAUCAUUUUUUUAUAAUAAAACUUAAGAUAAUUUUAAUUUAUAUCAAGAAGGGAGAAAAUUUUAUUAAAUGAGGCAAAACAACAACAUCUCCUCUCCUUCUCCUCCUCCUUCACCACCACCACCUUUGAAUUUUUUUUUUUAAAUUAAAACUUAUUAUAAUCUAAAACACAAGUUUCAAACAAAAAACAAAAAUCAUGUCCUUAAAAUGUUUAUGUCGUGAUAUGAAAAAAAUAAUUCAUUCAUAAAAACUAUAUAAAAAAAGUAGCAAUAAAAAAAUUAAAAUACCCUCAUAUAUAUUAUAACCAUCACGAAUUUGAUUAAAAGAUAUUGAUUGAAAUCCGUUUCCCAUCUCCUUUUCUCUUUAACAACAACAAGCAAUCUAUUUUCCAUAUCUUUGCCAAACAAAAUUAAUUUUUUAUUUAUUUAUGAAUACAUAGAGAAUGGGACUCGUAUUCUAUUAUGUUUGUACUGGCAUUUUAUCAAACAGAGCAGCAAGAAAAAAAAAGGGCCUAGUAAAGAAAAAAAAGGCAGAAGCAAUUUUAGAGCAGAUCAACGAACUGGGUCCUUCUUCUUUUUAGCAAGGAACUUGGAAAGGCACCUGUGAAUAUUUUCGGCCUUUGGCCACAUGUUGUCAUAUUUCCAUUUCUCCAAAGCUUUAGCCAAAGCUAGAGUCCAUGUCUCUUUCGUAUCAACUCCCACCACGCUCGGCACCCCUGAUAAAAUCACUGGAACCUCAUCUGCAAUCUUUGAUGUUAAGUUUGCCUGUGAUCUCUUGAAGCACCCCUUCAAGCAGUUUGUCGCCGAGAAAUCAUCCAAUUGGAUAAUUAGUGAUUUUUGUUUUCACUGGGUUUUUGAUAUUGCAGAAGAAUAUGAUAUCCGAGUAAUACACUUUUCAAUUCUCUGUGAAACCUUGAAAGAUUUCCUGGGACCUGCCGAGUAUCUUGUUGGUGACCGUCUAAAAUCAAUCUAAUUUGGGUUUCGUUGGAGGUCUAGGUUUGGAAUUGUCUAAAAUCAAUCAAAUCAAUUCUGUAAGAGAUACGGGUGGCUAGGGUAAAGGAGUUUUUUUUUUUUUAAUUAAAUGGCUAUUUUGUAAUUUAUAAUUUUAAAAUUGUAAAGAUUAUUUAGUUAUUAAAUAAAAUAUAAUGAUAAUUUUAUAAAUAAUUAAAUAAUUUUUAUUGACUUUUCUCGACAGUAUGGGAAGCGAAUGUAAACUAUCAUACUGACGACAAAGUUUAGAAUUCAAAUUAUAAUUUUUCACUAAACUAUAUAAUUUAUUUUCAUCCUUUUCUUUUGGGCCUACGCGUAUUUACCUUUAAACACCUUGAAAAACCCAUAGUACGUAAGCCCAUGGACUUACUUGUCAAACCAGUCAACAAAGGCAAGCCUAAACACGGUCAGUCUGGGCCGACACCAUCUAUAUAUAUAAAAGCCUGGAGUUAAUUCACUCUUCCUCUUUAACAAUUUAAAGAACACCCUGCCCUAGAUUCUAAAAUCCAAUUGAUUGUCGGAUUCGCGAAGAAGAUAAAUAACUAUUGGUUUAUUCAUCACAGGAAAAUCUGAACACGCCAGAUUCCGGCUUUUUAGGGUAAGAUUUCUUCUCCUUUUCUAGCAACGUUGUUUUUAAUGCUUCAAAAGGGGUUUUGUAAUUGCUUUUGAGAUUAUGUCAUUGGGUUAAGCCUGAAUUAAUUACCUGUGUUUUGUUUUUUUUAUAUAUAUAUAUAUAUUUUUUGAGAAUUGAAUUUACAAUAUUUUGAUUUGUGUGACCAGAAGUAUAACAACAAUUUCUGGUAUACAUCGCAGAGAUUAGGGCAGUGAAGUGUGUGUUUGACCUAGAAGAAAAAAGGGAAUGGCGCACAGGUUGUUAAAAGACCCGGAGGCUGACGGAUGGGAACGGUCUGACUUUCCUAUCAUUUGCGAGUCUUGCUUAGGUGACAAUCCCUAUGUCAGAAUGGUAUGCAAUAUUAAUCCUUGUUCCAAGUUGGGUUUUUUUGGGGGGGAGGGGCUUUGGCUGUGCUGUGUGGAUAUUUAUAUGAUUUGUUCCUUUGCGGUUGUAUGUACUUGGUGGGAUGCAGACCAGAGCUGACUUCGAUAAGGAAUGCAAGAUAUGUACUCGACCAUUUACAGUGUUUAGGUGGAGGCCUGGCAGGGAUGCGAGAUUUAAAAAGACUGAAGUUUGCCAGACUUGCAGUAAGUUGAAAAAUGUUUGUCAAGUCUGUCUUUUGGAUCUAGAGUAUGGUUUGCCUGUUCAAGUUCGUGAUACUGCUCUCAGUAUAAAUUCCAACGAUGCUAUUCCAAAGAGUGAUGUGAAUAGAGAGUAUUUUGCCGAGGAGCAUGACCGAAGGGUAUGUUUGUUUCAUGUUUUAACUCUAGUAUGUUUUAGUUGCUUUUUUGGCUGUAUGUGAUGUGAAGCUAUUUACUGUGUUGUGUGUUAGAAUUCUCGGGUUGUUAGGGUAUCACCAUUACUGGGUAACCGAUGAUUUCCAAGUAAAUGUUUACUUUCUAGUGGCUGUUGAUGUAAUUUUGACAUGUAGUUGUUAGAAUGAACUGAUGAUGCAGCUACUAUAUAUGAAACCCACAUUUGUUAUUUGCAGCAUGCUUGUUGCCAUGGGACGUCUUUUUUUCUUAUGAAUGAAUCAUAUUGCAUAUACCAUAUAAUAGCAGUGAAAGAUAUCAAUUUCCCAUUUUUAUUUGUACUGGUACUUUUUAUUUAAGAGUCGUGUUUUAUAUGAACUGCUGAGCAUGUUUUAUAUGAACUAGAUGCUGAGAUUCACAUUAGACUAAUAUGUUUUAGAUGAAACUUGGCAGGCCUUUUAUCUUUAAAUAAAAUGAUAAUGUAAACAUAAUACUUGAUGUUACACUUGCAGAUACUUAACAAUGUGAGUUAUUGUGCAAUGAAAAUUAUGUAUCUAAAUUAUUUUAUUUAACUACAAUUAAUGCAAGUUAUUCGAUUCACAUAAGUACGAAUACUAAAAUUAUAGUUACAUACCAAAACCUUUAUCUGUACCUUUGAUCAUUCAUUUAAUAACCAAGGAGGUCCUUUGAUCCUGUCUCCCUCCUAUUGUAGUUAUGGAUUUCAAACUAUCUAAUAGCCUAAUCAGUGUGCAGUUCAGUUAGUUAUGCAUUCAAGGUUGUUCCACUGAGAUGGUGAUUGUUACAAUAAUUCUGUUCUGUUGUUCUCUUAAGUGAAGCUGAUAUGAUUUUGCUUGAUGCAGGCUAGGGCGGGAAUUGAUUAUGAAUCUUCAUAUGGAAAGGCACAAGCAAAUGAUACUAUUCUGAAGCUUCAAAGAACAACACCAUACUACAAAAGAAAUCGAGCACAUGUUUGUAGCUUCUUUGCACGUGGUGAAUGCACACGAGGUGCCGAGUGCCCCUAUAGGCAUGAGAUGCCCAUAACUGGGGAGUUGUCACAACAAAAUAUUAAAGAUCGUUACUAUGGGUACGUAGAAUGUUGUAAUUUCAUCCUCCAAGCAUAAUUAGCUUUAUUUAUGUUUUUCCUCUCUCCAUCUCUGGCAUGCAUGCAGGGGUGUACACUCAUGAUUGCUAGCUCUUGCCCUUUGGCUCCCCUGUUCCUGAAUUGUUAUUUGAGUUUCAAAUUUGAUUUCUUUGUUUGUGGUCCUUUAGGUGGAUUAUUGUAUUUUGGGCAAUUAAAUGAGUACGAAUGAUAUAAAACUUAGUUUAGCUGAUGACUUUGUAAUGCUUCUCACGAUGGAACCGAAAACCACGCACAAGUUGAUUCUGCAUGCAUGCAUGUAUCCAUCCCCACUGAAACUAAGUACAAAGGCAUAUGAUUUCUGAAUUUUUAGAAGUUUGACUUCAUCUGAUUUUUAUACUUGUUUUUCUAAAUGCGUGAAGAGUGAAUGAUCCUGUGGCAAUGAAGCUACUCAACAAGGCUGGAGACAUGCCGUCAUUAGAACCACCAGAGGAUGAAAGCAUUAAAACGCUCUAUGUAGGUGGGCUUGAUGCGAGGAUCAAUGAGCAGGACCUAAGGGAUCAGUUUUAUGCUCAUGGCGAAAUUGAAUCCAUAAAAAUGGUGCCUCAAAGAGCAAUUGCUUUUGUAACCUACACAACCAGAGAAGGAGCAGAAAAGGCCGCAGCGGAGCUCUCUAACAGGCUAGUCAUCAAGGGUCUGCGUCUGAAAUUGAUGUGGGGUAGACCGCAAGCACCAAAAC